Armigeres subalbatus is the source of this 1762-nucleotide long non-coding RNA. RefSeq lists it as uncharacterized. The record is from RefSeq and is a predicted model, not a curated record. The transcript has 3 exons. Lineage: Eukaryota; Metazoa; Arthropoda; Insecta; Diptera; Culicidae.
CGCCCGUUGACGUAUACAUUAUGACUGACGCGACUAAGGUGUUUGUGUAGCUCAACAGAAAAUGAGAGAACGGGAUUGGAGAAAGAGAGUAAACUAUGUCAAACAAACUGAAGUUUCGGCAGCGUAGAAACGUUUCAAAGCGAAGCUCUCUGUGUCACAGUUGACCCUUACCAGCGUGGAUAAAUAAAACUGCUCGAAAUUGUCAACAACAUUUGUUUUGUUGAAAUAUUUCACUGACAGUCAGCUGAGAUCAAACUGGAAACAAACAUUGAAACCCGCUUGUGUAUGGAGUGGAUCGUUGAACUCGGACGUCUAGGAAAAAGGUACGUUUAUGUUUUUGUGCAAAAUAAAAGAAAUCCUCUACUUUUAGCGCUUAUUUUAACUGUCAUACACGCUGAUAACAAAGAACCUACAUAGAAGAGGUCAGGGACGGCAAUGACUUCGAAAGAUGACGAGCGAUGCUGAGCUGGUUGCUAGAGGAAUUUGGUAGACACAAAUAUGGACUUUAUCUUAUCGCACUUAGGGCCGCUACUGGGGAAAACAACAACCAAACAUUGCAGACGGCAGUCAACGAUUGCAGCAUUAUCAGCCAGAUUAUAUGAAUUUAAAUUUGCUGCAAGUCAUCGUUAGCUAAAGGGUUUACGUUGAUCAAGCUAUGCAUUUUCGUUAGGCAAUGUGUUCAAAACUCUAGCAGUAAGACCGAUCUGCAUAAAAUAAUUCGUUACUUCGAGAUCGUAUUACCUUUAUUUGAAAGCAACAAAGUACAUUGGGACUAUUACUAUGUACAAUGUAACAAAAAUAGGCGCUACAAAAAAAGCAAUUGGAAUUGGAUGAAUGUGCAUUUUUUAACAGAUUAAAAAAAUCUAUUUUCGCUCAAUCAAACCUUUGCGUGGUAUUUUACUUCCUACUAGUAAUAGUAGUGUUAAUACUAUGAGUGAUGGUCGGAAGAGUAUGGAACGACUUUACUAUGCGUUAAGAUAACUCGCUUUCCAGAUAGUCUUAUUUGUGAGAAGGCCAAUAGAGUAAAUUUCAGUUCAAUCAAGCCUUAUAACCUAUUCAGAUUACGCCAUUUAUUAAUAACGAUAAUAUCGUGUUGAAGUGGAGAUAGAAACUUGAAUGUAUGGAGAUUGGUAUCAAGUUAUUCUUUAUCAUUAUAUUUAUUAUCAUAAAUGGCGUAAUCUGAAUAGGUUACGAAGCCGACAACAUGAUUAUCUAAGCAACGGAGCGCUUAUCAAUCAAAAAUAAAGUGAACGAGAAUUUGGUGGAUCUGCCCAAAACAUUUUUAAUCCCUGUAAAUUUCAUAUUCAUCAUAUGUUUUUCUACUCCCAUUUCAAAAACCCAAGUCAGACUUAAUAAUUUUCGCACAGUGUUGAGAUUUAAGUCAAUUAUUCAACAUUAGUAAGCAAAUGAUUUACAAAUUGUUUCUUCCUGAUGCGUGUUACGUGCUCUUCAAAAUUUUCAUGCUUUUCAAUAUUACCGAUGUCUAUGUUGAAUAAUCAUCAUUAUUAUUGAGACUUUAAGCGCGAGACUAGCUCGUUUCUGUUAGGAAAAUUAUUUUGAGUUUUAAGUGGAAUGUCUUUACUUGUCACACGGUGUAAAAAAAUGGAUUAUUAUCGAAGUUUCAUGCACCUCUGAUUUUUUUUCACAGAAAGUUAGGCAAAGCCACUAGAAAUGAAGUAUGGGAUGUUUAAAAAUAUUUCAUCGGCGAUUUUUUGAAAAAAGUGAUUUUUAUUGUUUUCUUCCUUAAUAUACCGUCUAAAAA